This is a long non-coding RNA of Mustela erminea (ermine), 1245 nucleotides long. RefSeq lists it as uncharacterized. Lineage: Eukaryota; Metazoa; Chordata; Mammalia; Carnivora; Mustelidae. The transcript is spliced from 3 exons. The record is from RefSeq and is a predicted model, not a curated record.
CUCCCAACAAAUGUCUUCUUGGCUUCAGUUAAUCUUGGUUGUUCAUGCUCAAGAAUUCUGGAUCAUACAAUAUGGGGGAGGUGAAUUAACCCUCAAUUCUCAAUGGCACAACUAAGUCACUGGCCUUAGGAAAAAAAAUUAAAAUGCAAACAAAUAAAAAGCCAGAGACGUGCCUAUAUGAUCUAUGCAUUCCAAGGAGAUGAGAGGAGUUGUGGGCACCAAUGGCUGUUCAUCCUCAGAUCUGCAUGACCACAAAGAUAAAAUUAAUUGAAUGAAUGCGUGAAUGAGUGAAAUCAUUCUUCAGAGCAAUUUAACUCAUCUUUGAGUUUCCUACCCAGGUGAAGAACUGGAGUUGGAAAUGACUGUACCUACUGCUGUGAAUUUUAUGAUACCAUUUACCAAGAACUUCAGAGUCUUUCUUGGCACCACGAAUACGCCAUCUGAUCACUGUCUGGAGAUGCAGGAGAGAACUGGAUUCUAGAAGUCCUGAUUUCCUUCAGCUCUGCUUCCUUCUUGUGUUCUGGAAGAGUGACAUUAGAAAAGGGAUCAGAGGCAGCAACAGACCCUAUUUGGGAGGCAGACGAAGGCACAAGAGAGAUGGAUUCUCCUCCGGUUACUUGAAUCCCUGUGACUGCCCAGCACUGAGCUUAUGUCAUAUUCAUGGAUCAGUCCUGAAACAGGCUUCUGUACUACUGGGAAGCUCUGGAGCUGGAUGCUAAUUCCCAAAUAUGACUGAACAUAUUGCAGAAGGAACAUGAGAUCAUCUGCAAUGCACCAUCUGGAGGCUCUGUGGAAUGUAAAUUCUUCUUUGAGACCUGGUGACUAGAAAACAGGUUCAAUGUGACUAUGGAUUGCCAUUCGGGUAAAACCUUACCUCUGCAAAAGACCAGCCAUCCUAUACUACACAGAAUAUGGAGACUCAUUCUGUGAAAGGAGACUAGCUUGUUCAAAAUCACACAGACUACUCAAGGAUACAAUAUCUUCAGACACCUCUUCCAGAGAAGGACCAUAUGCUAAGUGAACACAAAUUCUGAGUGACCUGCUGGGUGUGUUGGCAGCAUUCUGAGGUGGAAGUGAGGAUGGUAAUACAGCCCAACACAUCAUAUCACACCCUUGCCUUUUUCCUUUUUUUUCUCCUACACCCAAUACCCAAGGACUUGCACCUCUUGAUUAAACUGUCAGAAUCUUAAUCCUUCCCUUGGGCUCCGUUUUAUGAGGGACUCAAUUAAGACAACAUCCAAGUGG